ACUAUUAAAUAAUAACUUAUUUAAAAAGAAAAUAACUAAUACUCCUAUCUGUGGAAUUUGCAGGGAAGGAAUAGAGACUAUAAAACAUGCAAUUCUUCUAUGCUCGUGGAUCAGAGUAACGUGGUUUGGAGCACAGAGUCAAUGUUUAUCAACACCAGAAACAAUCAAGUCAUUUGCAGAAUGGCUGCUUGAAAUAUGCAGAAAAAUUAGAGGACAAGGGAAGGAAGAAGCAGAGGAUCUAAUUGGAAGAAUUGGAGUGCUAAGUUGGGAGAUUUGGAAAACGAGAAACCAGACUAUAUUUCAAAACACUAUCCCCAACCCCAAUGCUACCAUCAUCAGAGCUAAAAUCCUAGAAUCAGAAAUCAGGGAAGCAAUGCGAAAAAAGGAGCAGCUCGGACAAAACCAGAACAGGAGUAUAAGCAGAAGGAGCAUUACCUGGAGACCUCCACCGAGGGAUUGGCUAAAGGCUAACGUAGAUGCUGCGUAUAGAAGAUCGACAGCGGAGGGAGCAACUGCAAUUGUGAUUCGAGACAACUCUGGAUGACUAUUAACAGGAGAAUCCAUGAGAAUCAGAGCUCAUUCCAGCUUAGCUGCAGAAGCAGAAGCAAUGAGAAUGGCACUAAUUUUAGCUACAAAUAUUAAUUUGGAGCAAAUCUUAAUUAGAGUCGGAUAAUUUACCUCUUGUGCAAGCAGUAAAAUAAAAAACUUAUAUAGGAGAGGUGGAACCAAUUCUUCGAGAUAUUCUUCUCCUGGCUGAGAGUCUUCCCAAUUGUGACUUCAUAUGGGUCCCUAGAGAGGGAAAUAAAGUCACAGAUGGAGUGGCGAAAUGUUUCCUGAUAGGCCAAUUGGAGAAAAACUGGAGAUGGAAGUCCCCAUGAGAGAUAGCAGAACAACAAAGGAGGGAGGCUUCAAACCAAAAUGGAUGCUCCAAUCGAAGCCAUUCACUGGGCAAGACUCAAAACACAUUGCAUUCCAGAAUUCAGAGGCAAGGGAAUAUGAAUUUCGGGGAAUCACUGUGGCAGAGAGACCUGAUGCCAAAUUCGGGAACUUUAAACCCUCUCCCAGUCGUCAACGGUGCUGAUGCGACUUCGCCGGAAAGGAGAAAUGUCUCCGUGAAUAACACCAACAGACCCGGGCAAGGCAGUCAAGCAGGGAAGGAGAAAUUCGGCGUAGCCAACCGAAGCUUUGCUGGCGACGAAGAUUAAUGGCGAAGAUGCGGCGAAAGGCGGCUUCACCCGCGGACAAGGGCAUCAGACGGCGGCGGUGAAAAUCGGUUGUAUCAGCAAGGGAGAUGGAAUAGGCCAUAGCAGAACCGAAGGUCUGAGGCAGCGGGGCAGGGAGAAACGGUGUCAGUGCAACCUCUGGGAUCGACGGCGAACAGGCGGUGGUGACGGCUGCGCAGCUGACGAAAGCCAUGAGACGGAGAGUGAGAGAGAUGAAGAGAAGGCGCGAGUGUUAUAGCAAUAGUUUAGGGUUGUGAUUGUUCCCCGACCUGACCCGGGUUCCUU
RNAcentral lists this long non-coding RNA (1508 nucleotides) under Arachis ipaensis. Its description in RNAcentral is "long non-coding RNA (AIPA_LNC001898)". Lineage: Eukaryota; Viridiplantae; Streptophyta; Magnoliopsida; Fabales; Fabaceae. The record is from RNAcentral.